This 2293-nucleotide long non-coding RNA is filed under the name Marmota monax (woodchuck). Lineage: Eukaryota; Metazoa; Chordata; Mammalia; Rodentia; Sciuridae. The record is from RNAcentral.
AAAAAAUUAAAUGUUAAAAUUUUUAAUUUAUUAUAAUUGAAAUCUCUACUUAUUAAACAAAAUAUUACAAAAGUAGGUAUUGCAAGACUAAGUUCCUCUGACACUCUCAUGUGCUUUGUCCAAGGUCCUUAACAACACUGAAGCGGACUGAGUUCAGAACUUUGGGGUGCUCAUGCGUGUCUCAGGAGCUAACUCUUACUUGGAUAUGAAAGGUCCAUGUCUAAGCUGCUGAGACUGUCAUGUGUACCAGAUUUCCUCACUGGGCUAACUCAGUGCUUUGGAGGGUCUGAGUUUAUUAAUGCUUCAGUUACAAGUAAGGAAAUACAAAGAUAAAGGAACCCAACGUGGCCAGGCCCUGAGGAAGGCACGGCCCAGAGAAAGUGGUGAAAGGAGAGUCGAAGUGCGUGUCCCGGGAGAAAGCUCCUCCACAUUCUGAAGAUUUGUAAGUGACUCUGAAAAUCAAAUUGUGACUUUGAAGUUGAGAAGGAAUUUUUAAUUUGACAGCAACUGUAGCAAGUGAUGGAGUUCAGAGAGCCCAGGUUUGAGCAGGGGACAGGAACAGGUAGAAUGGGCAUCAGAGGUAGAGAAGCAAUCAGGAAUCAAACUGUCAACCCAACUAAACAAUUUGGGAAGUGCGGAGACCCAAGUUAGACACAGACUGUGAAGAAGGAGUUAUCAAAGAGAAGCUAUGGAUUUUUUUUUUCAGGCCUUCUUUUUUGAAAAAAAAAAUUUAGUUGUAGAUGGACACAAUACCUUUAUUUAUUUAUUUUUGGCGCCGUGCUGAGGAUCGAACCCAGUGCCUCACACUUGCAAGGCAAGUGCUCUACCACUGAGCUCCAACCCCUGCCCUCAGGCCUUCUUUUUGAUAAUUCCUUCUUGAGAUGUGUACAGGUAAAUAAAAACUAUUAAAGCCUUACAUGACUGUCACCCCUAUUAGACCUAUUUUAGGUAUACUUCUGCUACUUUUUUAACCUCUUAAUAAAGUUUGUAUCUUCCAGACUGCAGUACUUGCAUUGGUAAGAUGAAGGUAAGGCAAAGAUCCCAACCCAUAUCAACUGAGAUACAGGUGAUCAGGCAGGCAGAGGCUUCAUUUCCCUGGCUAAGCAAGGUCAUUGCUCCUUGCCAGCUUGAGCAGCCAUAAAAGAUGGAUCUUUUCCCUUCAUCAAUCCUUAGGAAUAAGAGAUUGCAAGUCUUGGGGGCUGGGAAAUGAGAUAGGAACUUGGGAAAACAGAAAAAGAAAGAUAGUAGACUGAGUCUCAAAAGAGAAGCUCUUGUAAGUCAUUGGAAUGCAGAAAUGGAUCUUGGAAAUGCAAAGCAAGCAUUCCUCAGCAACCCAGUCCAAGUCCUUACCCUCCACCCAUGGCCAGUGCCCUGGACCCAUGUCUUUGCAUGCAAAAUGUAAUGUGUUAAUACGUAGGCAAAGGGAAAAAGAAGAACUUUCAGAUAGGGCCCCUAUGGCAGGUUUAAACUUGCUGGAACAAUUGGAUCCUAUUGAACUUAAUUCUUCCCUAUAGGUUAGAGAACGCAGCACUCUAUAGUUAUAUAAAUUAUAACUAACAUUCAUCUAAAGAAAAUUUGUUUGAAACAUGUGAGAUCAUAAGUAUUAAUUGAUGGGUAAAGAUGUUAUGUUGCAAGGCAUUGAGAAAAUUAUAUAAACUACCUGAAGAGAUAAGGUUAGGGGGAAAAAAGACCUUGGUGAAGCAGCAUCAAUUUGAGGGAAAGUAACAGAACAUAUAAUAUAUUCAGGUGAAAAUAGAAUCCACAUUAAGAGUGAUAUCAGUUGUAAUGUCUUCUUAAACAUCUUUUACCUCAGGAUUUCUCCCUUAUUCCUGCUUUUCUAGGAGGUUGCAUCAUGGAUGAAUGUUGACCUUUUUCAAAUAGUUUUUUUUUUUUUCUGCAUCAAUUGAGAAAAUCAUAUUGCUUUUUCCUUUAUUCUGUUAACAUGAUGAAUUAUAUUAAAUCUCAAAAUUCAAACCAACCUUGCAUUCCUGUAAUAAGCCCUUCUGAUCUUGUUUUAUUAUCUGAUAUAUAUGACUUAGAUUUAUCAUUUUAUUGAACUUUUAAAGCCAUAUUUGUAAAGAAUAUUUGCCUUUUGUGUAUCCACUCCCUUUUGUUCCUUUUAUUUCACAAUGUCCAUGCAGCAUUUUAUCAUCAGUGAAAAGAGACUCCUAGUAUGAAUCAAAGGUUUUCAUUGUUCUCCAUUUUCUGAGUUUUUGAAAAGAGAGAACAGUUUUUCUUCCUCAGAGGUUUGAUAGAAUUCACCUGCUAAGCCAUCUGAACCUCAGAAUUUUUU